Long non-coding RNA from Triticum aestivum (bread wheat), 600 nucleotides. RefSeq lists it as uncharacterized. Lineage: Eukaryota; Viridiplantae; Streptophyta; Magnoliopsida; Poales; Poaceae. The transcript has 3 exons. The record is from RefSeq and is a predicted model, not a curated record.
UUAUUCUCCGAUCUAGAUUGAUAUUCUCCUUCAAGUCCGGAUCGAUCUAGGUCUACUACGACACAAAUCGAUCAUCCAAUCUCCUCUCGCUGAGCGGGAAGGCUGGAAGGCGGCGACGGCCCGGGGAGCGGCGGGAAGGCGGAGACGGACAGGGGAGGGUGGCUUUGCGUGCAGCGAAGAAGGAGAAGCAGCAAGGCCGCGGCAGGAAGGCUGCAAGUCGUCUGCUAGCAUCCCCUACUCCUCUGCCCGCCCCUCCAGCCUGCCCACUGGCGGCGCUCUACUCCUUCGGCCACCCAUCUUCUCCUUCACCGUGUACGACGGCAAGACUAACCUCUGAGGUGUUUGGGAAUAGUUAAACUUUGGCAGCUGCUGCUGGUGUUGUAUCAUGAUGGAAAUUCAGUCGAUCAGCAAUUGAAUUCGACUAUUUGAACAUGCUAGCUGCUGUCAUACAAGAGGUUUGAUGGAUAAAGAAAGUCACCGAUCUGAAAAUGUGGAGCCUAGUUGAAGUGAUGAAUUCAUUACUGUUAUUUGCUAUUUAUUUUUAUGUCCAUGUACUUUAUAAUUUGGACAAGAAGAUUUGUAGGUGUGACUGCUCUAAAG